UACCCCGCUGAAACUUAAGCAUAUCAAUAAGCGGAGGAAAAGAAACCAACAGGGAUUGCCCUAGUAACGGCGAGUGAAGCGGCAACAGCUCAAAUUUGAAAUCUGGCUCUUUCAGAGUCCGAGUUGUAAUUUGCAGAGGGCGCUUUGGCGUCGGCAGCGGUCCAAGUUCUUUGGAACAGGACGUCACAGAGGGUGAGAAUCCCGUACGUGGUCGCUAGCCUUCGCCGUGUAAAGCCCCUUCGACGAGUCGAGUUGUUUGGGAAUGCAGCUCUAAAUGGGAGGUAAAUUUCUUCUAAAGCUAAAUACUGGCCAGAGACCGAUAGCGCACAAGUAGAGUGAUCGAAAGAUGAAAAGCACUUUGGAAAGAGAGUCAAAUAGCACGUGAAAUUGUUGAAAGGGAAGCGCUUGCAGCCAGACUUACCUGUAGUUGCUUAUCUGGACUUUUGUCCAGUGCACUCUUCUACGGGUAGGCCAGCAUCAGUUUGGGCGGUUGGAUAAAGGUCUCUGUCACGUACCUCCCUUCGGGGUGGCCUUAUAGGGGAGACGUCAUGCAACCAGCCUGGACUGAGGUCCGCGCAUCUGCUAGGAUGCUGGCGUAAUGGCUGUAAGCGGCCCGUCUUGAAACACGGACCAAGGAGUCUAACAUCUAUGCGAGUGUUUGGGUGUCAAGCCCAGACGCGUAAUGAAAGUGAACGGAGGUGGGAACCCUUUGGGUGCACCAUCGACCGAUCCUGAUGUCUUCGGAUGGAUUUGAGUAAGAGCAUGGCUGUUGGGACCCGAAAGAUGGUGAACUAUGCUUGAAUAGGGUGAAGCCAGAGGAAACUCUGGUGGAGGCUCGCAGCGGUUCUGACGUGCAAAUCGAUCGUCAAAUUUGGGCAUAGGGGCGAAAGACUAAUCGAACUAUCUAGUAGCUGGUUCCUGCCGAAGUUUCCCUUCAGGAA
This 941-nucleotide ribosomal RNA is filed under the name Pseudoshiraia conidialis. RNAcentral's name for it is "Shiraiaceae sp. CLH-2021a partial large subunit ribosomal RNA". It matches the Rfam family "Eukaryotic large subunit ribosomal RNA", at positions 24 to 979 of the family's 3401-position model. Lineage: Eukaryota; Fungi; Ascomycota; Dothideomycetes; Pleosporales; Shiraiaceae. The record is from RNAcentral.